UUUAAAGUCUGACCUGCCCAAUGAGGAUUUAAAUGGCCGCGGUAUUUUGACCGUGCAAAGGUAGCAUAAUCAUUAGUUUUUUAAUUGGAAGCUGGAAUGAACGGUUGGACGAGGGAAUAACUGUCUCAAUUUAAUUUAAUUAGAAUUUUAUUUUUAAGUAAAAAAGCUUAAAUAAUUUUAAAAGACGAGAAGACCCUAUAGAGUUUAAUAUUUUUAUUUAAUUGGAUUUUUAAGUAUUUAUUUUGUUAAUUAAUUAUAAAUAUUUUGUUGGGGUGACCGAAAAAUUGAAUUAACUUUUUUUUUAUUCAACCAUUAAUUUAUGAGUGAUUGAUCCGUUAAAGAGCGAUUAUAAGAUCAAAUUACCUUAGGGAUAACAGCGUAAUUUUUUUUGAGAGUUCUUAUCGAAAAAAGAGUUUGCGACCUCGAUGUUGGAUUAAAAUUAAUUUUUGGUGUAGAAGCUAAAAUAUUGGGUCUGUUCGACCUUUAAAAUUUUACAUGAUCUGAGUUUAAACCGGCGUAAGCCAGGUUGGUUUCUAUCUUUAAAAAUAUAAUAUAUUUUAGUACGAAAGGACCAAAUAUUUAUAAUAUUUAUUUAUUUUUGAUUAUUAUUAAG
RNAcentral lists this ribosomal RNA (613 nucleotides) under Cherbezatina strigosa. RNAcentral describes it as "partial 16S large subunit ribosomal RNA". It matches the Rfam family "Bacterial large subunit ribosomal RNA", at positions 1844 to 2737 of the family's 2925-position model. The record is from RNAcentral. Lineage: Eukaryota; Metazoa; Arthropoda; Insecta; Coleoptera; Scarabaeidae.